RNAcentral lists this long non-coding RNA (2569 nucleotides) under Hordeum vulgare. Its description in RNAcentral is "long non-coding RNA (HVUL_LNC018101)". Lineage: Eukaryota; Viridiplantae; Streptophyta; Magnoliopsida; Poales; Poaceae. The record is from RNAcentral.
GAUAAGUCACCACACAUGCGCGCGAGCCAAAUCCCUAGUUUCCCCUCCUCAUUCCCCAUGCCAGCCACCAUGGGCUCCGGCCGCCGGCCUCUUCGUCGCGCCCCCGUCCCCCGCACCAUCCUGCCGCUCCCUCCACCUGUAGCGCCCGCUCCUCCCCUUCCUAUCCUCCUUCGCUACCUCCGGUUCCAGACCAAGUGAUGUGGACGAGGAGAUGAUAGCUCAGGAGGCAGGCAAGAUGAACCAGGCGGGUCUCCACUCAUGAAAUCCCUAGCUCAUUUCGUUCCCCACGCCCGCCGCCGGCGACCUCGCUCCUCCCUCCCAUGGCGCCACCGCCCCAACCCAUAGCCGUCUCCCUCUCCUUUCCUUCCCUCUCCACUCCUUUCAAUGGUGGCAGAUCUGAAGGGGCAAGGUCCUUGGUGCAGAGCGAGGUUGGCAGCAUUUGCUCCCUCCACUUCCAGUGACAGGUUCCUCCAUCUCUGCCAACCAACCUUUGGUGACCAGCAGGUAGGCAUCCAUGGCGGUAACAACAGAGGUAAGAUCUCUUUCCCUCUCGUGUGGUUCCUCCCUCCACUCCCCCUACUGGUCGCAGCAUGCAUAUUGAAACCCUAGCGUGCAGAUUUAUAGUUGUCUAAAAAGUAUUUUCAUGAAUUCGUUACACAUGGGUAAAGGACUGUUAGGUAAGAACAAUUGCAAAUAUGUGUUUUCAGCAAGAGAGAGAAUGAUAGAGUUAACAUUCAGAUUUAAGCAAUAGAUUGAUGUAACAUUUUUUCUGGAGUUUAAUAACAAGAUAAGAUAAAGGUUCUUUUAAUUUACUGAAAUUAACUUUUACUUGAGUGAUGUCCUAAGGUCAACCUAUAUAAAUGCACAUGUCUGAACUGAAAAUACAGCCACACACCAACUUCACACAGUACAAAAUUGAUAUGAUGCUUGCGUUGUGACUGAGUGUCUUAUGGCGCAAUGUCUCUGAAUAAAGUGCAUGGGUUGGAAAUUAACUGAAAGUACUGAACAAAAUUAUUGACAUCAGAGAGCAGGAAAAUAUGAGUUUAAUUUCUCAGUUACAACAGUAUUGUACUGUAUCUGUAACGAUAUAUUCUUACCAUGAUAAUAAAUAUUUGGUUCACAGCUAUUGAUUAUCACAAGUAGAAACCAGCAAACGCAUUACAUAUGUUCAGUAAAGCCUUUCAAUAUUUUUUCCGUCGGUGUCACAAAAUGAACACUCCAAGUGGUAUGUUUGAGCAUCCAUUCGUGAUUGCUCAUACGUGAUGUGGUGAUUACUUGGUAUGCAUGUCUUGCUUGCAUAUGUUAACUGAAGAUCCAUUUGUAAAGUACAAGACUGAGAAGUGAGAACUACCUUCAGGUUGCACAAAAGUUCCAAAUAAUCAUACUAAUGAUUUAGCCUUUCAGUUGAGCAUUGUAGAACUGUCACAAAUAUAAGAGUCUAUAUUUAAUCUUCAUGUUAUGAGAACAAGAACUUCAGCUUAUUUAACCCUGCUAUGGAAUAAUUAGCUCGAGAAUCACAAUGAGCCUUUUGUUUUCUUUGAAUGUUCACGACACUUCUACACAAGAAUUCCUACUUCUCGCUACUCAUGCGCUUCCGGCGGGUGGCGCAGUGAUUCCCUGCCCUUUUGCCACAACCUACCCACCAAUUGGUUGGUCUAGUGAGAUAUCUACAUAUUGGGUAUCUUACUAAAGUUAGUUGUAUACCAAGUUAAUUUAUGUUUCUUGCCAGAUGGUGCUAUGUCUUGAAUUAAUUCUUUUUUCUGUAGGCAGGUAAUGCUAGAUCCAAAGUUAAUCAUGGCAAGUCAAAGGUAUCUCAUACAUCAGACAACUAGAGUCAUCUAACAACGUCUUCUCUCAGCAUGGCGCUGUUCUCGAAUGUUGUCCUAACAUACCUAUUCUAACUACUUGAUGUUGGACUUGUGAUUUUGUUAGGCUUGUCCUCUCACUGAUUAAUGUGCUAGAUGGCAUCCCUUGUGAGGAGAACCAAAGGAUACGGUUUCAUCAAGUGCAAAGACCAAAUCGUUUAUUUGGUUGGUCUUGGCCUGUUGUGCUAUUAUUGUUAUACUGAUGUCCACAUUCCAAAUUAGCAAUUAGUUGCUCGAGGGUGGAAUGCUUACUUUAUGAAUUAUUAUGCAUGGCUAGUUAAUACACUUCUAUAACUAUGUAAUUUCCAUUUGCAGCUUCUAGGUUCUAGCUUUGUAGUGUGCAUCAUCUAGCUAAAAUGUUGAAAUGAUGUGAAAGUAUCUUAGAUAUUGUUGGUGUGCUGUUGUGAGCUGAAUUCUAGGUGUACAUUGAUGCAAAUGAACAUGGGAAUAGCUUCAGAAUUAUUCUUCACAUUUUUUACUAAAAGAUUGAACCACUUUCAUAUCUUGAAAUGAGAAUUUACUCAAGUUUCUAUUUGUGCUAGCGAUAAUUUUACUAUCAUGUUCAUAUAAGUAAAAUGCCAAAUACAAAUGGCCUUCAUUAGCAUAACUAUAUUACCAACACAAUAUGUAGUUGAAAAUCCCAAUACAAAUGAUAUCUUUAGUUCCUAGGACAGAUUUCGAUGGAUUAGUUCGUAAAGCAAGCG